CCUACGGGGGGCUGCAGUGGGGAAUAUUGGACAAUGGGGGGAACCCUGAUCCAGCCAUGCCGCGUGUGUGAAGAAGGCCCUCGGGUUGUAAAGCACUUUCAGUGAGGAAGAACGCCUGGUGGUUAAUACCCAUCAGGAAAGACAUCACUCACAGAAGAAGCACCGGCUAACUCCGUGCCAGCAGCCGCGGUAAUACGGAGGGUGCGAGCGUUAAUCGGAAUUACUGGGCGUAAAGCGCGCGUAGGUGGCUUGAUAAGCCGGUUGUGAAAGCCCCGGGCUCAACCUGGGAACGGCAUCCGGAACUGUCAAGCUAGAGUGCAGGAGAGGAAGGUAGAAAUCCCGGUGUAGCGGUGAAAUGCGUAGAGAUCGGGAGGAAUACCAGUGGCGAAGGCGGCCUUCUGGACUGACACUGACACUGAGGUGCGAAAGCGUGGGUAGCAAACAGGAUUAGAUACCCUUGUAGUC
This 465-nucleotide ribosomal RNA is filed under the name Vreelandella stevensii. RNAcentral describes it as "partial 16S ribosomal RNA". It matches the Rfam family "Bacterial small subunit ribosomal RNA", at positions 338 to 795 of the family's 1533-position model. Lineage: Bacteria; Pseudomonadati; Pseudomonadota; Gammaproteobacteria; Oceanospirillales; Halomonadaceae. The record is from RNAcentral.